UUCAGUCCUUUGAUUUACUGUCCAGCUUUUUAUGGUGUACUUUUAUUAGUGAACUGUUUUGCUGGUAAAUGCGGAUAAGCUGCAAAAAAAAAAUGUACGAGGUGUACGUAUAGAACAGAUUAGCUUUCUCUCCAGGCUUAGUAGAUGGAGUGCCUGUUUCAAAUACACCAUGACAGCUGCUGAUCCAGACAGCAAGAACGAAUCAAAAAGACGGCACUGCGCCAGGACUGAACUAUUCACAAGUGCAGGAUGAGUAUAGCUUGCUGGGGGUUAAUUGCACAUUGCGCUGCUUUAUAUAUAAACAUGUGGUUUUGCCUCUGGUGAUGUGAAGUUUGUGUUUUAAACAGUGCCAGCUUAACCGUUCACAGGAUCUGCAGAACCUUUGAAAACACAGCCCACCUGUGAGAAGGCUUACUGGAACAUGGCAGGGAGACAUUCACAUGGGCUGGAUGCCAGUUCUUCAGCCAGGACUCAGAUGGCAGCAUACCAGGCCGUAGCUGGAAUUGGCAUGAUGGCGGUAAACAAGGUGCGAUAAAAAUCACUAGUGUGGAAGGAAGGAAAGCAACGCCACGACGCUCGUGUUAUCGGGUUCAUCGGAGAGCGAGACAGGAGUUGUUCUGAGGAGGGGUUUCCUCUGGAUACUCUGGUUUCCUCGCCCAGGCCAAAGACAUGCGUUGCAGCCUGAUUGGUGUUUCCAAAUUGUCCACAGUGUGUGAACAGGUAUGUGAACGUGUGUGUGAGUGUGCCCUGUAAUGGGCUGGGUGUUCCCUGCCUUAUGUCCCGAGCUCCCUGAGAUAGGCUCCAGACUCCCCGGCAACCCUGUGUAGGAUAAGUGGUAUGGAUAAUGGAUGGAUGGAUGG
This is a long non-coding RNA of Ictalurus punctatus (channel catfish), 860 nucleotides long. RefSeq lists it as uncharacterized. The transcript is spliced from 3 exons. The record is from RefSeq and is a predicted model, not a curated record. NCBI's taxonomy places the organism in Eukaryota, Metazoa, Chordata, Actinopteri, Siluriformes, Ictaluridae.